CGUGUAGGCGGUCUUAAGUCAGGGUGAAUGCCAAGGCUCAACCUUGGAACUGCCCUUGAUACUGGAGAUCUUGAGUCCGGGAGAGGUGAGUGGAACUGCGAGUGUAGAGGUGAAAUUCGUAGAUAUUCGCAAGAACACCAGUGGCGAAGGCGGCUCACUGGCCCGGAACUGACGCUGAGACGCGAAAGCGUGGGGAGCAAACAGGAUUAGAUACCCUGGUAGUCCACGCUGUAAACGAUGGAUGCUAGCCGUUGGGGAGCUUGCUCUUCAGUGGCGCAGCUAACGCUUUAAGCAUCCCGCCUGGGGAGUACGGUCGCAAGAUUAAA
RNAcentral lists this ribosomal RNA (326 nucleotides) under uncultured bacterium. RNAcentral describes it as "bacterial SSU rRNA". It matches the Rfam family "Bacterial small subunit ribosomal RNA", at positions 568 to 898 of the family's 1533-position model. The record is from RNAcentral.